Xiphophorus couchianus (Monterrey platyfish) is the source of this 1714-nucleotide long non-coding RNA. RefSeq lists it as uncharacterized. The record is from RefSeq and is a predicted model, not a curated record. NCBI's taxonomy places the organism in Eukaryota, Metazoa, Chordata, Actinopteri, Cyprinodontiformes, Poeciliidae. The transcript has 7 exons.
ACCACCAGUCAAGUGAAGGAAGAUAAGAGAACCCAGUUGACAAAAAAAGUAAGAACAUUUGUAUCUUUCAAUAUAGGUGAACAUUUCAAAUAUAGCUGCAGAGAGUUGAACUGAAAGUUAGAAGCUGUUUUUAUCUGCCGUCUAUGUAUAUUUUCCUCUUUAACUCUGUUGUCUUUUCUCUUUUUUCUACAUCAACUCAUGUCACAUGACUUGAGUUGACCAGCAAUUAAGGCAGAAGAUCUACUAUAUCUGCUGAUUGACUGGUUGUAACAGGUUGUGGAGAAGCAUGACUGAAACAAGACAGCAGCGCUGGACCAAUCAGGAGAGAGAAGACAGAAGAUCCUGCUGAAAUUCCAGAGAUUUAAUGAAGAAGAGUUUCCUGAUACAACAGAGGGACAUCUGAGGACGGGAUGCAGAAUAAAGAGACACUGAUCAUGUGAAGUUGGAUCUCCCGAGCCUGUAAACCUCCACCUUCAACACCAUCAGUUAGGUGGAGGAAGAUAAGAGAACCCAGUUGACAAAAAAACAAUUAAAGCAGAAGACCUGCUCCACCUGCUAAUCUACUGGUUGUAAAAGAUUGUGGAAACGGUGAGGACAUGAUGAUGACUUCAUCAGAAAGUCUCCUUCAUUCAUCUGUUCUUUAGACAGAAAUUAAAGAAUGUGUGUCUGAUCAUGUGAUGAUUCUCCAACAUUACUGAGAUAAGACAACAGGAUUGGACCAAUCAGGAAACAGGACUGAGGAGACACAGAAAAUCCUGCCGAAAAUCCCGAGAAGAAGUUUCCUGAUGGAACAGGAGGACGCCUGAGGACAGAAUAAAGAGACACAGAUCAUGUGAAGUUGGGUCUCCUCAGCCUGUAAACCUCCAUCUUCAACACCACCAGUCAGGAGGAGGAAGAUAAGAGAACCUAGUUGAGAAAAAAAGUAAGAAAACAUAUUUUUAUCCAGCUAACAAUUUUAAAUAUGGAUGAAACAGCGGUCAAAUUUCAAAACUGUUCUUUCUUCUGUCCAUUCUCUCUAACCCUGUUGUCUUUUCUACAUCAACUCAUGUCACAUGACUUGAGUUGAACAGCAAUUAAGGCAGAAGAUCUACUAUAUCUGCUGAUUGACUGGUUGUAACAGGUUGUGGAGAAGCAUGACUGAAACAAGACAGCAGCGCUGGACCAAUCAGGAGAGAGAAGACAGAAGAUCCUGCUGACAUUCCAGAGAUUUAAUGAAGAAGAGUUUCCUGAUACAACAGAGGGACAUCUGAGGACGGGAUGCAGAAUAAAGAGACACUGAUCAUGUGAAGUUGGAUCUCCCGAGCCUGUAAACCUCCACCUUCAACACCAUCAGUUAGGUGGAGGAAGAUAAGAGAACCCAGUUGACAAAAAAAGUAAGAAUAUUUAUAUCUUUCAACAUAACUAAACAUUUCAGAUAUUGCUGCAGAGAGUUGAGCUUUAAAAACGGUUUCUAUCUGCUGUCUUUGUAAAAAAUUUUUUAACUCUGUUGUAUUUUCUCUUUAUUUCAAUUCUACAUCAACUCAUGUCACAUGACUUGAGUUGACCAGCAAUUAAAGCAGAAGACCUGCUCCACCUGCUAAUCUACUGGUUGUAAAAGAUUGUGGAAACGGCGAGGACAUGAUGAUGACUUCAUCAGAAAGUCUCCUUCAUUCAUCUGUUAUUUAGACAGAAAUGAAGGAAUGUGUGUCUGAUCAUGUGAUGAUUCUCCAGCAUU